This 266-nucleotide ribosomal RNA is filed under the name Endoconidiophora polonica. Its description in RNAcentral is "partial 26S ribosomal RNA". It matches the Rfam family "Eukaryotic large subunit ribosomal RNA", at positions 1 to 262 of the family's 3401-position model. Lineage: Eukaryota; Fungi; Ascomycota; Sordariomycetes; Microascales; Ceratocystidaceae. RNAcentral also lists the same sequence under 1 other name. The record is from RNAcentral.
AAGGUUGACCUCGGAUCAGGUAGGAAUACCCGCUGAACUUAAGCAUAUCAAUAAGCGGAGGAAAAGAAACCAACAGGGAUUGCCUUAGUAGCGGCGAGCGAAGCGGCAACAGCUCAAAUUUGAAAUCUGGCUACUUUGUAGUCCGAGUUGUAAUUUGCAGAGGAUGCUUUUGGUGAGGUGCCUUCCGAGUUCCCUGGAACGGGACGCCAGAGAGGGUGAGAGCCCCGUACGGUUGGACACCAAACCUUUGUAUAGCUCCUUCAACG